RNAcentral lists this ribosomal RNA (567 nucleotides) under uncultured bacterium. RNAcentral's name for it is "bacterial SSU rRNA". It matches the Rfam family "Bacterial small subunit ribosomal RNA", at positions 338 to 916 of the family's 1533-position model. The record is from RNAcentral.
CCUACGGGGGGCAGCAGUGGGGAAUAUUGCACAAUGGGCGAAAGCCUGAUGCAGCGACGCCGCGUGAGGGAUGACGGCCUUCGGGUUGUAAACCUCUUUCAGCAGGGAAGAAGCGAAAGUGACGGUACCUGCAGAAGAAGCGCCGGCUAACUACGUGCCAGCAGCCGCGGUAAUACGUAGGGCGCAAGCGUUGUCCGGAAUUAUUGGGCGUAAAGAGCUCGUAGGCGGCUUGUUGCGUCGGUUGUGAAAGCCCGGGGCUUAACCCCGGGUCUGCAGUCGAUACGGGCAGGCUAGAGUGUGGUAGGGGAGAUCGGAAUUCCUGGUGUAGCGGUGAAAUGCGCAGAUAUCAGGAGGAACACCGGUGGCGAAGGCGGAUCUCUGGGCCAUUACUGACGCUGAGGAGCGAAAGCGUGGGGAGCGAACAGGAUUAGAUAUCCUGGUAGUCCACGCCGUAAACGUUGGGAACUAGGUGUUGGCGACAUUCCACGUCGUCGGUGCCGCAGCUAACGCAUUAAGUUCCCCGCCUGGGGAGUACGGCCGCAAGGCUAAACUUAAAGGAAUUGACGG